RNAcentral lists this long non-coding RNA (329 nucleotides) under Gossypium raimondii (Peruvian cotton). Its description in RNAcentral is "long non-coding RNA (GRAI_LNC001187)". The record is from RNAcentral. Lineage: Eukaryota; Viridiplantae; Streptophyta; Magnoliopsida; Malvales; Malvaceae.
UAAAAUUCUGAGUAUUUGAGGAGUGUGGGAAUGUUGUGGCUGAUUUUUAGGAGGAUGUUAAGGGAAUUUUGGUUAUUAAGGGAUUUGGGGAUUGAGAUUAGUGUUUUGUAGAGAUUUGGGUGGAGGAGUUUGGAUAGAACCGAAACUAGUAGUGGCAAUUUUGGCUACCCUAUUUCAUUCCCCAAUUUUCUAAUAGUUUUUCCAUUUCUGCUUUUGGUUUUUCUCUCCGUUUUCAUUUUUUUCUUUUUCUUUUUCUUUCAAAGCCGAAUGAUAAUUGUUUCUUUUCCUAAAUCUCAGUUGCUCCUAAUUUUUUGACAUUUUGAAUUUAU